RNAcentral lists this ribosomal RNA (505 nucleotides) under Cephalothrix rufifrons. RNAcentral's name for it is "partial 16S ribosomal RNA". It matches the Rfam family "Bacterial large subunit ribosomal RNA", at positions 1817 to 2597 of the family's 2925-position model. The record is from RNAcentral. Lineage: Eukaryota; Metazoa; Nemertea; Palaeonemertea; Archinemertea; Cephalotrichidae.
AGCUUCUUGAAUUUUUAAGAAGUAAUUUCUGCCCGGUGUAUUUAUCAACGGCCGCGGUAUCUUGACCGUGCGAAGGUAGCAUAAUCAUUUGUCUUAUAAUUGAAGACUGGAAUGAAAGAAUUUACGAAGGAAAAUCUUUCUUUUUUAAGUUAUUAAAAUUUAUUGUUGAAGUGAAGAAACUUUAAUAAAAAAAUUAGACGAGAAGACCCUAUUGAGCUUUACUAUUUUUUCUUAUAAAAUUUAGUUUACUAUAUUUUUUUAUAUGAAUUUAUAGUUGGAUUGGGGCGAUUAAGGAAAUAAAUUUAUACUUCCUUUUGUUUAUAAACAUAUAAGUUUUUUUUGAUCCAUUUGUAAUGAUUAAAAAAAUAAGUUACCAUAGGGAUAACAGCGUAAUCUUUUUUUAGAGUUCUAAUUAAAAAAAGGGUUUGCGACCUCGAUGUUGGACUAGGAUGUCCUAAGGGUGCAGAAGCUCUUGAUGGUAGGUCUGUUCGACCUUUAAAAUCCU